This 2585-nucleotide long non-coding RNA is filed under the name Macaca mulatta (Rhesus monkey). RNAcentral describes it as "lncRNA (ENSMMUG00000050854.1)". The record is from RNAcentral. Lineage: Eukaryota; Metazoa; Chordata; Mammalia; Primates; Cercopithecidae.
AGAUGCAGCAGGAUGGUUAGCAUGUGUGUGUGUGUGACAGAGAGAGAGAGAGAAAAAGUGAGUGAGAAAGGGAAAGAGAGAGAGAGAGACAGACUAAUUUUAUGUUGGUUUUAAUAGUCAUUUAUUUUUACAAUUUCUCAUUACUUUUUUUGUUGUUUUGUUUUGCAAGAACUAGUUGCACUUGCCUUGUGUCAAAGACAGGAUAUUUGUUGGUUUGUAACAUGAAACUAUCAGACCUAUGUGUGCCCAGAAUGACGACGUUCCAUUGAGAAUGAAAAUUUCAGGCCUGAUGCGGUGGCUUACACCUGUAAUCCCAGCACCUUGGGAGGCCGAGGCAGGCAGAUCACCAGAGGUCGGGAGUUCGAGACCAGCCUGACCAACAUGGAGAAACCCCAUCUCUACUAAAAAUGCAAAAUUAGCUGGGUGUGGUGGCGUAGACCUGUAAUCCCAGCUGCUCAGGAGGCUGAGGCAGGACAAUCGCUUGAACCUGGGAGGCGGAGGUUAUGGUGAGCGGAGAUCAUGCCAUUGCACUCCAGCCUGGGCAACAAGAGUGAAACUCCAUCUCAAAAAAAAAAAAAAAAAAAAAAAAAGGAAAGAAAAUUUAAAUCCCUCAGAAUGGUUAUCUACAUAACACUGAACACAUGAAUACUCGGAGACAUUUGGAUGAUGGGUGUCCUUUGCAUAAAAAGCCACAUGACUGACUGUAUUUUUCCAUUUUUAUUCAGAUAUUUUUGAAAUAAUGUAGACCGCCAACAGGCUCACCUCCAAGACAGAAUACAUAAUCAUUGAGAAACGCCACCUGGAACACAGCUGUGACUUGAUAAACACGUGAAAUAUUCUUUGGUGUGGUGAGGGGAAAACAGAUUUCUCAAGGGACACGCACCAUGGUGUAUGAGAGGACACUGGAGCCCAGCCAGCAUCUGACAUGCUGAAUUCAAAGUGCAGGGAGGCAUUUGGGAUUUGUGUUCCUGGCAACUUGAGAGAGGAAUGGAGGAAGUCAAAGGGAGGAAGAGGAGCUGAUGUUGCAGUCCAAGAGGAAACAGGAGUGAGGGCAGGGAGCCCAGAAGAGGGUCAGGGUGAAGAUGGGUGUGGGGAAGGCAGAGCAAACCAGCUGCUGCUGUCAACCCGGACCUAUUUCCUCGAGCUCUGGGAGCCCUCCCAUCCCUGCUCUCAGCAACAGUGAUGCUGCCUUCGGGCGGCUGUGCAGCCAACCCACACUGAGUGAUAGCUGUCCCUGUCAUUUUCUUAAAUGUCACCAGUGAAAGAGACAUUUCCACCUCCCUGGAGUACACAUACUCCACGUGUGGAUAAGUGGACACUUGGUUCCAUUUUCACAGCUUCCAAAAAUUGGUCACAGAUGACUCACAAUUGUGUCAACUACCCUGGUAUAAGAAGCCAUAGAUGGAGGUAUACAGAAAUGAUUUUUUUUUUUUAAUGUAAUGUCCUUUCUAUGAGGCAGUAAAACAUCUUUCCUGCCAUUAGGAGAAAUGUGUUCUUUGAAUUAUUUUCACAGCCAUAAAGGCAGACCUGUGAAAGGCUAUUUGUACUGGAUAGUUCUCUGCUUUCAUGGAUUUUAUUCAGAAUUGUCCAUUCUUGGAAAUGUUGGGGAAAGAGAAAAGAAAAAGAGGACAAAUAUAUGUUGAAUUCGUUAGUGUAAAUUAUAAUUCAUAAGCUGCAGUGUCCAAGCAAUAUUACCUUCCACAUAUUCUUGAAUAGCUUGGUUCCUAUUUUUGAGCCCCUGCCUGGUGCCAGGAACUUGUUUUCAGCUAAUUCAGGGUUUCUGCCCCCAUUUUCCUUGGAGGAAUAUCUAAGUUCUUUGGGGAUAUUGCUGGUGUCAAGCAUGAAGCUGUUGGAGGACAGGGAGGCUUUGGCAUCUGGUCCUCAGCAUCACGUAAAUCCUGUCAGAACUUAGAGGUGAAAUGGGAAGGAUUGUUGAUCUCCUGCCCCACCAGCUGCUGGGAUGUCCCUUACUCCCAUUCACAAGGUCUGUUUGUGUCACUCUAGGUCAUUUUGCUCUCCUGAGCCCAUCUGGGAACCACUUUGAAGCUGUUUGAGUCCAGAGCCAUGGCCCAGGCCUCUCGUGGUAUGCGGAUUCUGCUGUGUUCCCUCAGCUGGAUCAGGGGCACUGGGCAGCGCCUUCCCCUCUCCUGGCCUAUUCUCAGGCACACCUAAGUGAUCUUAUUUCAUCUUGACCCUAACCUUGGAUAUUUGAAGUAGAAUUAUUCAUUUACAAAGGAGGAAAAUGAGAUUCAGAGAAGCUAAAUACAUGCCAAAGCCACGUAACUACAAGUGGCAGAGCUCAGUCUGCUUUCCAAACUCAUGCGGCCCCCUUCAUCACCGUGACUCACCCACUUUAUCCCCCAACUUCGAGGAAGUCUCCUCUGAUCACCCAAGAAUAAUGUCUGCCUCCUUAGAAAUUUUGUAGCCAUUGCUGUUUCAAUUUUGGGAGUGACAUCUAAUUGUCACACAAUGUUUCACACGCUAGCUAUCUGUGCUCAUAUCUAGACAAGCCUGCUUAGGUGGUGGCUCCUGGAAGGCAAAGACCACUUCUUGUGCUUGUCUCUAUCCCGUCUACUAGCACCACA